GAGCGCCCUCCUGAGGCUGUCAGAAUAACUGGGGCGAGGCAGGGAAUGAGAGGGGACACCAGGCCUGAGGAGUGAGGAGAACAGACUAGAAUGGCUUCCUGACCGAAACUACACCCGCUCAACCCCAGGCCUGUGUAAUAGGCACUUCCACUUUAGUGUGAGGGUAAAUCCCAGAACACUGAAGAAACACAGCCCAGAGCUGGCAUCCUUUUGGCCAUUUCCUGAAGUGGAGCUGGAUUUCAGAGGGCUGUCUCAAAUGACAGUGUCAGCACUAGGAGCUGAUGGUUAAAGCUCUGCAAGAAAACAGCAUCCAGCAUUUUCUUUUGCUACUCUCAUGGGCCAACAUGAAAGUGCGUAAUGAUGGACACAGGCUUUGCUUAAGUGGAGCAAAGGGCUUCAGUGAAAUUCAAUAUUGUCA
Molecule: long non-coding RNA, 418 nt
Filed under: Homo sapiens (human)
Lineage: Eukaryota; Metazoa; Chordata; Mammalia; Primates; Hominidae
Description: non-protein coding lnc-FRA10AC1-1:1
Source: RNAcentral